AUCCAGCCGAAGAGUCUAAGAUGGGACUAAACGCACGUCCUGGAU
Schistosoma margrebowiei is the source of this 45-nucleotide non-coding RNA. The record is from Rfam. Lineage: Eukaryota; Metazoa; Platyhelminthes; Trematoda; Strigeidida; Schistosomatidae.